CCUACGGGAGACAGCAGUGGGGAAUAUUGGACAAUGGGGGGAACCCUGAUCCAGCGACGCCGCGUGAGUGAAGAAGUAUUUCGGUAUGUAAAGCUCUAUCAGCAGGGAAGAAAGAAAUGACGGUACCUGACUAAGAAGCCCCGGCUAACUACGUGCCAGCAGCCGCGGUAAUACGUAGGGGGCAAGCGUUAUCCGGAUUUACUGGGUGUAAAGGGAGCGUAGACGGCGAUGCAAGUCUGAAGUGAAAGGCGGGGGCUCAACCCCCGGACUGCUUUGGAAACUGUAUGGCUGGAGUGCAGGAGAGGUAAGUGGAAUUCCUAGUGUAGCGGUGAAAUGCGUAGAUAUUAGGAGGAACACCAGUGGCGAAGGCGGCUUACUGGACUGUAACUGACGUUGAGGCUCGAAAGCGUGGGGAGCAAACAGGAUUAGAUACCCCUGUAGUC
RNAcentral lists this ribosomal RNA (443 nucleotides) under uncultured bacterium. Its description in RNAcentral is "partial 16S ribosomal RNA". It matches the Rfam family "Bacterial small subunit ribosomal RNA", at positions 338 to 795 of the family's 1533-position model. The record is from RNAcentral.